CUUGCUUUCUUUGCUGGCGACCGGCGCACGGGUGGGUAACACGUAUCCAACCUGCCCUUUACUCGGGGAUAGCCCUUCGAAAGAAAGAUUAAUACCCGAUAGCAUAAUGAUUCCGCAUGGUUUCAUUAUUAAAGGAUUCCGGUAAAGGAUGGGGAUGCGUUCCAUUAGGUUGUUGGUGAGGUAACGGCCCACCAAGCCUUCGAUGGAUAGGGGUUCUGAGAGGAAGGUCCCCCACAUUGGAACUGAGACACGGUCCAA
Molecule: ribosomal RNA, 258 nt
Filed under: uncultured bacterium
Lineage: Bacteria
Description: partial 16S ribosomal RNA
Rfam family: Bacterial small subunit ribosomal RNA
Source: RNAcentral